AUACAGAGGGUGCAAGCGUUAAUCGGAAUUACUGGGCGUAAAGCGCGCGUAGGCGGUUUGCUCAGUCGGAUGUGAAAGCCCAGGGCUCAACCUUGGAACUGCAUACGAUACUGGCAAACUAGAGUGUGAGAGAGGAUAGUGGAAUUUCCGGUGUAGCGGUGAAAUGCGUAGAUAUCGGAAGGAACAUCAGUGGCGAAGGCGACUGUCUGGCUCAACACUGACGCUGAGGUGCGAAAGCGUGGGUAGCAAACAGGAUUAGAUACCCUAGUAGUCC
This 274-nucleotide ribosomal RNA is filed under the name uncultured bacterium. RNAcentral's name for it is "partial 16S ribosomal RNA". It matches the Rfam family "Bacterial small subunit ribosomal RNA", at positions 523 to 796 of the family's 1533-position model. The record is from RNAcentral.